RNAcentral lists this ribosomal RNA (468 nucleotides) under uncultured bacterium. Its description in RNAcentral is "partial 16S ribosomal RNA". It matches the Rfam family "Bacterial small subunit ribosomal RNA", at positions 28 to 507 of the family's 1533-position model. The record is from RNAcentral.
GACGAACGCUGGCGGCGUGCUUAACACAUGCAAGUCGAACGGAAAGGCCCUGCUUUUGUGGGGUGCUCGAGUGGCGAACGGGUGAGUAACACGUGAGUAACCUGCCCUUGACUUUGGGAUAACUUCAGGAAACUGGGGCUAAUACCGGAUAGGAGCUCCUGCUGCAUGGUGGGGGUUGGAAAGUUUCGGCGGUUGGGGAUGGACUCGCGGCUUAUCAGCUUGUUGGUGGGGUAGUGGCUUACCAAGGCUUUGACGGGUAGCCGGCCUGAGAGGGUGACCGGCCACAUUGGGACUGAGAUACGGCCCAGACUCCUACGGGAGGCAGCAGUGGGGAAUCUUGCACAAUGGGCGGAAGCCUGAUGCAGCAACGCCGCGUGCGGGAUGACGGCCUUCGGGUUGUAAACCGCUUUCGCCUGUGACGAAGCGGGAGUGACGGUAAUGGGUAAAGAAGCACCGGCUAACUACGUG